Non-coding RNA from Pimephales promelas (fathead minnow), 569 nucleotides. The record is from RefSeq and is a predicted model, not a curated record. NCBI's taxonomy places the organism in Eukaryota, Metazoa, Chordata, Actinopteri, Cypriniformes, Leuciscidae.
UGAAAGAUUCUUCUGAGGUUGUUCUGUCAUCUUGGACAUGCAGAUUUCCACCGCAGCUUGGUGUUUCAUCUCAUGGCUAUGGAUUUUUAACAUAGUUUUAGUCAAAUAUGUCUAUUGAGAAGCUUUUUCAGAAGACAGCUUUUCAGUCUCUCUUCCGUAUAAGACAACCCCCCAACACAGGGCACAUUGCGUCAGGCGUUUGUUCCAGUCACCAGUUUGUAUCUGAAUGGAGCAGACAUGUUUAUCAUGAGGACAGACCGGCAGAUAGAAUUCUCUUUGAAAGAAAAUCAAACUGGAUCUUUUCAACGGGCUAUUUCAUAUCUAAUUUCAGAUGAGUCUAUAUUAUAUUUCUUAAGAUAUGUAGAUACUUUCCAUUACCAAAGGAUAUUGUCAGAGGGCUGAAUGAAGUGCAGAGCCUUUAACUUUCGGAGCUCCCAUCCGUCUCACGGUCACACCAAUUGGAUCGCCGACUCCUCCGGGUUUUUUGUCCAUCCUGUCCCCUUUGAAGGGCAAAGAACAGGAUAACAAGGUCAAAGAACAGGAUAUUUGUUUGGCCGGCGGGUUCUUUC